Molecule: transfer RNA, 76 nt
Filed under: Bacillus subtilis
Lineage: Bacteria; Bacillati; Bacillota; Bacilli; Caryophanales; Bacillaceae
Description: tRNA-Asn
Rfam family: tRNA
About the family: Transfer RNA (tRNA) molecules are approximately 80 nucleotides in length. Their secondary structure includes four short double-helical elements and three loops (D, anti-codon, and T loops). Further hydrogen bonds mediate the characteristic L-shaped molecular structure. tRNAs have two regions of fundamental functional importance: the anti-codon, which is responsible for specific mRNA codon recognition, and the 3' end, to which the tRNAs corresponding amino acid is attached (by aminoacyl-tRNA synthetases). tRNAs cope with the degeneracy of the genetic code in two manners: having more than one tRNA (with a specific anti-codon) for a particular amino acid; and 'wobble' base-pairing, i.e. permitting non-standard base-pairing at the 3rd anti-codon position.
Source: RNAcentral
UCCGCAGUAGCUCAGUGGUAGAGCUAUCGGCUGUUAACCGAUCGGUCGUAGGUUCGAAUCCUACCUGCGGCAGCCA